Molecule: unclassified non-coding RNA, 378 nt
Filed under: plant metagenome
Description: partial contains 5.8S ribosomal RNA, internal transcribed spacer 2, and large subunit ribosomal RNA
Rfam family: 5.8S ribosomal RNA (bases 1-105)
Source: RNAcentral
GAAAUGCGAUAAGUAAUGUGAAUUGCAGAAUUCAGUGAAUCAUCGAAUCUUUGAACGCAGCUUGCGCUCCCUGGUAUUCCUUGGAGCAUGCCUGUUUGAGUAUCAUGAAAUCUUCAAAGUAAAUCUUUUGUUAACUCAAUUGGUUUCUACUUUGGUAUUGGAGGUCUUUGCAGCUUCACACCUGCUCCUCUUUGUUCAUUAGCUGGAUCUCAGUGUUAUGCUUGGUUCCACUCGGCGUGAUAAGUUAUCUAUCGCUGAGGACACUGUAAAAGGUGGCCAAGGUAAAUGCAGAUGAACCGCUUCUAAUAGUCCAUUGACUUGGAAAAUACUUUUAUGAUCUGAUCUCAAAUCAGGUAGGACUACCCGCUGAACUUAAGC